Molecule: ribosomal RNA, 286 nt
Filed under: uncultured bacterium
Lineage: Bacteria
Description: partial 16S ribosomal RNA
Rfam family: Bacterial small subunit ribosomal RNA
Source: RNAcentral
UUCCUACGGGGGGCAGCAGUGGGGGAUAUUGCACAAUGGGGGGAACCCUGAUGCAGCGACGCCGCGUGGGUGAAGGAGCGUUUCGGCGCGUAAAGCCCUAUCGGCAGGGAAGAAGGAGGACGGUACCUGACUAAGAAGCCCCGGCUAACUACGUGCCAGCAGCCGCGGUAAUACGUAGGGGGCAAGCGUUAUCCGGAUUUACUGGGUGUAAAGGGAGCGUAGACGGCAUUGCAAGUCCGGAGUGAAAGCCCACGGCCCAACCGUGGGACUGCUCUGGAAACUGAAG